This 29-nucleotide non-coding RNA is filed under the name Mus musculus (house mouse). The record is from RNAcentral. Lineage: Eukaryota; Metazoa; Chordata; Mammalia; Rodentia; Muridae.
UGAAAGUGGUGUUUGUUGUUUGGUAAAGU